Molecule: non-coding RNA, 897 nt
Filed under: Limnonectes bannaensis (large-headed frog)
Lineage: Eukaryota; Metazoa; Chordata; Amphibia; Anura; Dicroglossidae
Description: partial 12S rRNA
Rfam family: Bacterial small subunit ribosomal RNA
Source: RNAcentral
UUCUAAGCCUACACAUGCAAGUCUCAGCUCCCCAGUGAGGACGCCCUUUUACCUUUUCCAGGCUAAGGAGCCGGUAUCAGGCACUAAAUCUGCCCACAACACCUAGUCCCACCACACCCCCAAGGGCCUUCAGCAGUGAUUAAUAUUGCCUAUAAGUGUUAACUUGACCCAGCUAUAGGAAAGAGAGCUGGCUAACUCGGUGCCAGCCGCCGCGGCUAAACCGCACGAGCUCAAAUUGAUAAUUGUCGGCGUUAAGCGUGAUUAAAGGCCCCACUAAUUAGAACAAAACCUAAACUCAGCUGUGAUAAGCCUGUUUUUGAGAAAUACAAAUACGAAAGUUGCUCUAAUCAACCCCUUGAAUACACGACAGUCGGGAAACAAACUGGGAUUAGAUACCCCACUAUGCCCCACCGUAAAAUAUAUACUCACACUAACCAACGCCCGGGUAUUACGAGCCUCAGCUUAAAACCCAAAGGACUUGACGGUGUCCCAUCCAACUAGAGGAGCCUGUUCUAUAAUCGAUAACCCCCGAUACACCUAACCCCUCCUUGCCAAUCAGCCUGUAUACCUCCGUCGCAAACUUACCAUAUGAAUGCUAAUAGUAGGUUAAAUGGUUUUAUCGCCAACACGUCAGGUCAAGGUGCAGCUCAUGAUAGGGAAAGCAAUGGGCUACAAUUUCUAAAAUAGAACAUACGAAAUGCUGCAUGAAACACAGCCACGAAGGCGGAUUUAGUAGUAAAAAGAAAAUAAAGUGUCCUUUUUAAUAAGGCCCUGGGACGUGUACACACCGCCCGUCACCCUCUUCAACAGCACACAAUAUGUUUUUAACAACUCUUGCACUUUAGAAGAGGCAAGUCGUAACAUGGUAAGUGUACCGGAAGGUGCACUUGGAUUUAC